AUUGAACGCUGGCGGCAUGCUUUACACAUGCAAGUCGAACGGCAGCGCGGGCUUCGGCCUGGCGGCGAGUGGCGAACGGGUGAGUAAUACAUCGGAACGUGCCCCGUAGCGGGGGAUAGCUCGCCGAAAGCCGGAUUAAUACCGCAUACGACCUGCGGGUGAAAGCGGGGGAUCUUCGGACCUCGCGCUCUUUGAGCGGCCGAUGGCAGAUUAGCUAGUUGGUGGGGUAAAGGCCUACCAAGGCGCCGAUCUGCAGCUGGUCUGAGAGGACGACCCGCCACACUGGGACGGAGACACGGCCCAGACUCCUACGGGAGGCAGCAGUGGGGAAUUUUGGACAAUGGGCGAAAGCCUGAUCCAGCAAUGCCGCGUGUGUGAUGAAGGCCUUCGGGUUGUAAAGCACUUUUGGCGGGAACGAAAAGGACUGUGCCAAUACCACGGUUCGAUGACGGUACCCGCAGAAUAAGCACCGGCUAACUACGUG
This 484-nucleotide ribosomal RNA is filed under the name uncultured bacterium. RNAcentral's name for it is "partial 16S ribosomal RNA". It matches the Rfam family "Bacterial small subunit ribosomal RNA", at positions 28 to 507 of the family's 1533-position model. The record is from RNAcentral.